This is a long non-coding RNA of Cygnus olor (mute swan), 2208 nucleotides long. RefSeq lists it as uncharacterized. NCBI's taxonomy places the organism in Eukaryota, Metazoa, Chordata, Aves, Anseriformes, Anatidae. The record is from RefSeq and is a predicted model, not a curated record. The transcript has 4 exons.
UCCCUCUGACUCUUCCAAAACUUCAGCCCCCAAAGUUCAGCCCGAGCAGCAGAGGGAAAGGAAGGGAAAGAGCUUUCAGCGGAGCGCUGGAAGUGAUGGGAGGAGGGACCCAGGUUGGGGUCAGAGCCUCCACAGCUGGUGCGCUCCUCAAAGAUGGAACUGAGCAUUGUGCAUGGAGGGACAAGAUGUAUCGCCUGCUCCAGGGAGUAGCAUCUGACAGCAUGAGACAGACAUCCUGCAUUCAGCUUCAGUUCCUGGCUCUAGAAAUGCAAAUGGAGAAGUGAGGCUUGUCCCAACACUGGAACAUACUCAUUCCUGAGAUACUCUUCAGGUCUGAGAAGUUGGACAGCUAGUGAGUAAGACAUCUAACUUCUAUCUUCUUUAAGGAGUCUACACUGAGCAUCUACCAAUUGUGGCCAUUUCUGAAAGCUUAUAAUUUUUUUACCUGUUGAGCAAAAGAGCAGCAUCUCUACCAAUGAGAACAACAAAUAAAAACCAUCUACAAACCAUAUGAGACCAAGACACUCAAUUUUAUACUGUGUAAAAGUAUGAUGUAAUGUAUGAUAACAGUGUUUAAUGGCAGAUAGCAGUACUUAGUGGCAUAUGAACUUAGCUAAAGUAGAGUAGAAUUCAGUCCUGAUAAGUCCCAAGACAGGAUUUCUGUCUUAUGUGUCAUGAUGAAAGAGACUCCAUUUGUUGCAUACAAAAGAAAAGUCAUACAACAGUAGAAAAUGUUCUCAAUUCAAUUAAGAAAGUGGGUUCCAAAGCAUAAAAAAGCUGAUGACUGCAUUAUGCCCUGAGCAGGUCUCAGAUAAUUUUGGUUUUGUCCAUCAAAAUAAGACACUUCUUUCAUUAUUUGCACCAUUUGUCUUUCAUUCUAAACUGAGGACAGUGAUUACUUUUCGUUAGGUAUGUAGAGCAAGGUAUGGCUGAUAAGGCUUGUUGUCGGCUGCUUUGCCCUGUUUUCCUAAAGAGAAAAGAAAUACAUCUCAUAUACAAAGUUACAUGUUGAGUUCCAGAUGAAAAUCUAGAAUUACAAACUUCUAGCUUAUUUUGGGGGUCUAGAGAGUAUCAUUUUUUUGAUAAAAUGGAACACUCAUUUGAAAAAAAUAUCUCUGACAGGAAAAGUUUCAAGUAUUAGUUUAAGAUCAAGCAUUUUGGUUAAGUUUUUACUGAAUCAGAGCAUGAAAGAAGAGAGAAAUGUGGCUAUACUCAUGUCCAUCACCACGUGCUGGGAAUCUGUACAGUAACUUUAAUGUGCUUAAAUAGGCACACAUAUGUAUAUGCCUCAAGUGAUGUUUUCAAAGAUCAGAAUCAGUUGUCUAAUUGAUUUAAUUUAUUGGCAUUUAUUCAUUUACUGUAUCUGUAGGGAGACAGGAAAAUAUCUAACUCAUUGCAGCAAAGGACAAAUAUACAAUAUAUUCAAAACAAUGUAAAAGAAAUAAACUAUAUGCCAUCUGCAUGCCAAGAAAAAUUGUAUUGGGUGUAGGACUGAUCUGUAUGCACAUGAUUGAAAUACAGGCAUGAGAACUGAAAUGUACUGCCAUAAAAUGCUGUGUAUCAGUUGUUGACAUGGAAUUAUAAAUUACAGCUGUGGCACAUGAUUACCAUCUAUGCCUUGACAAGCCAAACUAGGAUGUUGCUGCAGAGGGUCAUUGUCCAUCGGGAAAGGAAGAGUACAUAAUUCUGUUGGGUAGGUGGGUUGGUGGAUGGGGAUAGAGGGGUUGUUUGUUUGUUUUGUUUGUUUGUUUUAUUUCUUUAACAUUGUAAAUAGCAAGAGAUUAUGCAAAUACAGCUUUUACAAUGCCUUGUUCUCAGAUAAAUUCCAAAUGCAGAUGUCAAAGGCAAGAGAACUUACUGUAUUAGUUGCUCUGUACGUACAAUAUUAGGAAUAAUUGCUUACAAAUCAUAUAGACUAAUACAUUUUUAUUACUUCCUUUACAAUGGUACAUGUUUCACAAGUAGAAAGCAUGUCAGAUAGAUACAUGGAAAAUCGUUCUGGGAGCUAUAUUGCAUAUGGCAUGCACAGACUCCUGUGGGAUGUUAUCUUUGCUUUCAACAGUGUUAAUUUACUUCUGUGACAAUGCAUUACAUUCAGAACUUCAGACAAUUUCUUACUAUCAAAAUGUGGGGCUGAUGAGAGAGUUGUUAUUACUGAAGUCUACUGAAUCCCAAUUGUUUCAUAGUCAAAACAUGGUGGAGGAAACA